Molecule: ribosomal RNA, 750 nt
Filed under: uncultured bacterium
Lineage: Bacteria
Description: bacterial SSU rRNA
Rfam family: Bacterial small subunit ribosomal RNA
Source: RNAcentral
GUCGAACGGGAUAGAACUUAGCAAUAGGUUCUUGAGAGUGGCGCACGGGUGCGUAACACGUAUGCAACCUACCUUUAACUGGGGGAUAGCCUCUCGAAAGAGAGAUUAAUACCCCAUAGUAUAAUUAGAGAGCAUUUUCUGAUUAUUAAAGAUUUAUCGGUUAAAGAUGGGCAUGCGGCUGAUUAGGUAGUUGGUGAGGUAAUGGCUCACCAAGCCAACGAUCAGUAGGGGGUCUGAGAGGAUGUCCCCCCACACUGGUACUGAGACACGGACCAGACUCCUACGGGAGGCAGCAGUAGGGAAUAUUGGACAAUGGGGGCAACCCUGAUCCAGCCAUUCCGCGUGCAGGAAUAAGGCCCUAUGGGUCGUAAACUGCUUUUGUAUGGGAAAAAAUCAUCUUACGUGUAGGGUGUUGAUGGUACCAUGAGAAUAAGGAUCGGCUAACUUCGUGCCAGCAGCCGCGGUAAUACGAAGGAUCCAAGCGUUGUCCGGAUUUACUGGGUUUAAAGGGUGCGUAGGCGGGGAAUUAAGUCAGUGGUGAAAGCUGGUAGCUCAACUAUCAAAUCGCCAUUGAAACUGAUUCUCUCGAGUACGGUUGAGGUAGCUGGAAUGUAACAUGUAGCGGUGAAAUGCUUAGAUAUGUUACAGAACACCGAUUGCGAAGGCAGGCUACUAAACCGUAACUGACGCUGAGGCACGAAAGCGUGGGGAUCAAACAGGAUUAGAUACCCUGGUAGUCCACGCUGUAAA